Molecule: long non-coding RNA, 1136 nt
Filed under: Heterocephalus glaber (naked mole-rat)
Lineage: Eukaryota; Metazoa; Chordata; Mammalia; Rodentia; Bathyergidae
Description: lncRNA (ENSHGLG00000039324.1)
Source: RNAcentral
GCUUCACUGUGGAACACUUCCGGGUCAUCCAGGCCUGUCCUGCGGGAAGAAACCCACUGUGGGUGAGAGGAGGCAGCUGCUGGCAAUUCUGGUGUCACAAAGCGCCACUGUGGACUCAGAACAAGCAAGGACGUCAGUGCGACCAGCUCGUAGAUCUGGGGAGGGCCCAGCUCAGAGGUGCAGAUGAUGAAGAAGGCCCGUUUAUCUGUGUGAGGAAGGAAAGGGGAAGUCAGCACAAGGUGACAGGGGUGCCAGAGGCCCAGCCCGAGCGACUGAGGGCAGACCUGAAGGCUGAAGUUUACCAUGGACGGAGACCAGUCAGGGGCCCCUCGUGGAUCAUCUUCCUGCUUGUAAGAUCCAGGCUCUGUAGGAGACACCGCCACUCGUUCACUCGGGCGUCUGAGGACCUACUGCGUGUGCGCGGGGAUCAGCAGUGAGGAGAAAACAGUCUCUUCCCUUAUGCUCCCACAGUAAAAGGCAACUAUGAAGCCGUGUGCAGUGCGCCAGGCCAUGGCUCUGGCCCGGUCUCCUCCCAGCUUCUACCACAUGCCCUCUGUCUCCCAAGAGGGCACUCUCCUUCUGCCCUCCUCCCUCCAUCUCUGCCCCCUGCCCAAACGAUCGCCCCUCUGCCUUAACUUCUACCCACGCUCUGCUCUCUGGCAUCCACCUGCCUUCACUUGGAGAGGUGUCUGCCCUGUCCAUCCAAGGAUGCUGUUGAUGACGACGGGGCGUGUCUCCCAGGGCCCCACUGUCACCCAUCACAGCCGGCCCUGCCUGAGACUCUCCAGGCCCUGACUUGAGUUUUGCCCUGAGGACACCUAGGAAGCGCGUGAGGCUGUCUGGGCCGCGGGUUCUGCCCCUACCUUGAACUCUGCUGCCAGCGGGUUGCUGGCCCUGUCCAGGGCGGUGGCGUCCAGGCGUCUCUGGUAACCCUCCAGCCGGUGGCAGUUCUCAGUCUGCUUCACUGCUUCGUUCACGAACUUGAGGAUCUCCCGGCACUGGUCUCGGGCUCGGCACAGCUUCUCAUGUUCUGCAGUGCCAGCUAACAGACAGGACGUGGCAGCGCUCAGGGCUCGCUCCACCACAGCCGUGCCUCCAUCAGUCACUGCUUCCUCACAGCCCGCGUGCAGGUGCCC